GAAUGUCAAAUUUCUAGUAUGAGAAAUUAACGAUUUAAGUCCUUCUUAAAUGAGGCCAUUUACCCAUAGAGGGUGCCAGGCCCGUAUAACGUUAAUGAUUAUUAGAUGACAUUUCCAAAGAGUCGUGUUGCUUGAUAGUGCAGCACUAAGUGGGUGGUAAACUCCAUCUAAAACUAAAUAUAACCAUGAGACCGAUAGUAAACAAGUACCGUGAGGGAAAGUUGAAAAGAACUCUGAAUAGAGAGUUAAAUAGUACGUGAAACUGCUUAGAGGUUAAGCCCGAUGAACCUGAAUAUCCAAUAUAGAAAAUUCAUCAUUAUGAUUUAAAUAUUUUUAUAAUAUUAUAAUAAUAGUGUGCAUUUUUUCUAUAAAGGACAUUGUAAUCUAUUAACAUAAAUAUAAUUUAUCAUAAGAUCAAUUGGCAAAAGUUUAUUCAAAUUAUUUUGCUUGCAAUUUAACAUAGAAUAAAUGUCAUUGAUUUGAUAAAGUGUUGAUAGAUUUAUUUGUAUAUAGUGCUUGAAUAUAAUAUAUUCUAUAAUAGCAUAUUAAUUAUUAAUUUUUAUGUUUAUUAUAUGCACUUAUAUGAUUAACAAUGCGAAAGAUUCAGGAUACCUUCGGGACCCGUCUUGAAACACGGACCAAGGAGUCUAACAUAUUUGCAAGUUAUUGGGAAUAAAAACCUAAUAGCGAAAUUAACAUAACUUAAAUUUGGGAUUAGUUUUUAGCCUAUUUAUAGUCUAUUAAUUCAAUCCCGGGGCGUUCUAUACAGUUAUGUAUAAUAAUAUUUAUAUUAUUUAUACCUCUAACUAGAGCGUACCUUGAGCAUAUAUGCUGUGACCCGAAAGAUGGUGAACUAUACUUGAUCAGGUUGAAGUCAGGGGAAACCCUGAUGGAAGACCGAAACAGUUCUGACGUGCAAAUCGAUUGUCAGAAUUGAGUAUAGGGGCGAAAGACCAAUCGAACCAUCUAGUAGCUGGUUCCCUCCGAAGUUUCCCUCAGGAUAGCUGGUGCAUUUAAAAAUUAUGUAAAAUAAUCUUAUCUGGUAAAGCGAAUGAUUAGAGGCCUUAGGGUCGAAACGACUUUAACCUAUUCUCAAACUUUAAAUGGGUAAGAACCUCACCUUUCUUGGUAUGAAGGUAGUGGUUGUGAUAUAAUGUGCCCAGUGGGCCACUUUUGGUAAGCAGAACUGGCGCUGUGGGAUGAACCAAACGUAAUGUUACGGUGCCCAAAUUAACAACUCAUGCAGAUACCAUGAAA
This 1257-nucleotide ribosomal RNA is filed under the name Isosturmia japonica. RNAcentral describes it as "eukaryotic LSU rRNA". It matches the Rfam family "Eukaryotic large subunit ribosomal RNA", at positions 156 to 1219 of the family's 3401-position model. Lineage: Eukaryota; Metazoa; Arthropoda; Insecta; Diptera; Tachinidae. The record is from RNAcentral.